This 145-nucleotide small RNA is filed under the name Nothoprocta perdicaria. RNAcentral describes it as "TUC338 (ENSNPEG00000007118.1)". Lineage: Eukaryota; Metazoa; Chordata; Aves; Tinamiformes; Tinamidae. The record is from RNAcentral.
UGGUGCCUUGGGGAGAGCAAAGUCUUCUAUUUAUCCCCAGACAUGCUGUGCCCAUACUAUGCAAUCACGUGUCUUCCCUCUGACCUGAAGGGACCACCUUUAAGGGUGAGAAAGUAGUUUUGUUUCCCGACCCUCUUAGGCAUGC